UACGGAGGGCGCGAGCGUUGUUCGGAAUUACUGGGCGUAAAGCGCGUGUAGGCGGCUUUGUAAGUCGGGUGUGAAAGCCCUCAGCUCAACUGAGGAAGUGCGCCCGAAACUGCAGAGCUUGAGUACCGGAGAGGGUGGCGGAAUUCCCCAAGUAGAGGUGAAAUUCGUAGAUAUGGGGAGGAACACCGGUGGCGAAGGCGGCCACCUGGACGGAUACUGACGCUGAGACGCGAAAGCGUGGGUAGCAAACAGG
Molecule: ribosomal RNA, 253 nt
Filed under: uncultured bacterium
Lineage: Bacteria
Description: partial 16S ribosomal RNA
Rfam family: Bacterial small subunit ribosomal RNA
Source: RNAcentral